RNAcentral lists this ribosomal RNA (468 nucleotides) under uncultured Hydrogenophaga sp. RNAcentral's name for it is "bacterial SSU rRNA". It matches the Rfam family "Bacterial small subunit ribosomal RNA", at positions 128 to 591 of the family's 1533-position model. The record is from RNAcentral. Lineage: Bacteria; Pseudomonadati; Pseudomonadota; Betaproteobacteria; Burkholderiales; Comamonadaceae.
GCCCAGUCGUGGGGGAUAACGCAGCGAAAGCUGCGCUAAUACCGCAUACGAUCUAUGGAUGAAAGCGGGGGACCGUAAGGCCUCGCGCGAUUGGAGCGGCCGAUGUCAGAUUAGGUAGUUGGUGGGGUAAAGGCUCACCAAGCCAACGAUCUGUAGCUGGUCUGAGAGGACGACCAGCCACACUGGGACUGAGACACGGCCCAGACUCCUACGGGAGGCAGCAGUGGGGAAUUUUGGACAAUGGGCGCAAGCCUGAUCCAGCAAUGCCGCGUGCAGGAAGAAGGCCUUCGGGUUGUAAACUGCUUUUGUACGGAACGAAACGGUCUGGGUUAAUACCCUGGACUAAUGACGGUACCGUAAGAAUAAGCACCGGCUAACUACGUGCCAGCAGCCGCGGUAAUACGUAGGGUGCAAGCGUUAAUCGGAAUUACUGGGCGUAAAGCGUGCGCAGGCGGGUUUGUAAGACAG